This 240-nucleotide unclassified non-coding RNA is filed under the name soil metagenome. RNAcentral's name for it is "partial contains 5.8S ribosomal RNA, internal transcribed spacer 2, and large subunit ribosomal RNA". The record is from RNAcentral.
AAGACUAUAGACCUGCGGAGUACCUGCGGAAGGAUCAUUAUUGAAUUAUGUUUCUAAAUGGGUUGUAGCUGGCUCGUCAGAGCAUGUGCACGCCUGUUUGGACUUCAUUUUCAUCCACCUGUGCACCUAUUGUAGUCUUUGGUUGGGUAUCAAGGAAGUGUCAGCCUAUCAGCACUUGCUGGAUGUGAGGACUUGCAGUGUGAAAGCUUUGCUGUCCUUUACUUGAUCAUGGAGUUGUUU